This 301-nucleotide ribosomal RNA is filed under the name uncultured bacterium. RNAcentral's name for it is "partial 16S ribosomal RNA". It matches the Rfam family "Bacterial small subunit ribosomal RNA", at positions 509 to 807 of the family's 1533-position model. The record is from RNAcentral.
CAGCAGCCGCGGGAAUACGAAGGGGGCUAGCGUUGCUCGGAAUGACUGAGCGUAAAGGGCGCGUAGGCGGAUUGUUUAGUUAGGCGUGAAAUUCCUGGGCUUAACCUGGGGACUGCGCUUAAUACAGGCAGUCUAGAGUGAGGAAGAGGGUUGUGGAAUUCCCAGUGUAGAGGUGAAAUUCGUAGAUAUUGGGAAGAACACCGGUGGCGAAGGCGGCAACCUGGUCCUUGACUGACGCUGAGGCGCGAAAGCGUGGGGAGCAAACAGGAUUAGAUACCCGCGUAGUCCCUGUCUCUUAUAC